UUUUCAGAUAAUUACUUGUACUUAAUCUACAUAGCAAUUGGUAUUUUAGGCGUAGCUUUAUUGGUGAUACUACUGUUAUGUUGUUGCUACUGUAGAGGAAGGCCAGAUGAUGAUGCUUUGCAUAACCCUGGAGGCAGAGCUGCUCAAAACGAUUAUGCACACCACAAUCCUAUCUAUGACAAUCGCCAAUAAUCAAAGCUAGCGUAGUGCUGAUGCUCUGCAGAAAAAUGACGAUGAAACAUCUUCAAAGUGUUUAAUAUUUCACAUUCACUUUUUUAAAUCUGUUGAAAAAUAUAAUAAUUUGAAAAAUUUAGAUACUGAACCCACCAUGAAAGUGCUGGACAUGUAAAAUUGACCAAUUACAACAUUAGAGAUGUCCUACAAACAAGUUUUACGUACGUUUUUGCUGCUGUCUUGUGGGAUCUUAGCAACAAUAUCCAAUGGGGCGGGGCUUAGCGGAACGGUUCAUUAUAACUUUUUCAACAUGAAUAAUGCAAUUAUUAAUUAAUAAAAGAAAUUGGAUUGCACAAUAUUUUCAAAUAAAAAAAGCCAUUCCUAAAAUUUGGCUGAACAUAUUGAAAAGUGACAAACAUAAUGUAAAUGGUAAUGAGACACAUGCUGAACCCAGUAUUUAUAUAGAGGAAUCAAACAAAUACAUAAAUAUGGAAAAAAUUAGCACUAAAGAGUGUAGACAAUACUUAGUUUUAAAAAAAUCAAUAAAACCAAAAUGUGAAGCUAAAUGGAAUGAGAUAUUUACAGAUAAUAAUAUUGAUUGGGAGAAAGUAUGGACAAGACAAGUUAAAGAAAUAAAGACUCCAAAAAUAGCUGAAUUUAACUUCAAAUUAUUACAUAGAAUUUUACCAACUAAGAAAAGGUUAUAUCAAUGGAAAUUAGGUGAUUCACCAUUGUGUGUACAUUGUGCAACGAUUGCUGAUGAAAAACACAUGUUAAUGACGUGUAAAAGUCUAGGAAACUAUUGGAAUAAUGUUGCAUCUAUAUUCAAAAUUAAGAUUAAUAUUACUUUCAAAAAUGUUGUAUUAGGUAUAGCAAAACAAAACAACAUCACAAAUGAAUUAAUUGCAAAAGCAGCUUAUACAAUUUAUACAAACUGGUUAUACCCAGUAACAACAGAUCCAUGGGUCUUAUUUUGCAAAUGCAAUUCAAGUGUGAAAAGUCAAUAUGAUAUUGAAGCUAUAUACAUUCAGAUGAUAAACAUAGGCAAAGAUGGAUUGAUAUACGCACUCAAUAAACAAAAAACAAUGUACACCUUUUAUGGUUUUAUUGUAUUCAGAAGUCGACUGUGGUUCGAUGAACUGAUUGAUGAAUGAUUAUUGUUGUUAAUUCAUGAAAUAUUACUAUUGAUAUAUUCCAAUUUCAAUAUGGUAUAAUUAGUUUUUCAUAGCAUUCUGCACAUCUUGGAUUGUAAUAAUGAGCCAUAAAGAAAUAAGAGUACCAAUCCGAUCAUUGAUGAACUGUAAUCAUGUAUGUGUUUAUGUAAGUGUAUGCAUCUAUAUGCAUGUGCGCGUGUAUGUAUGUAUAUAUAUACGUAUAUUUAUAUAUAUAUAUAUAUAUAUAUAUAUAUAUAUGCAUUUGUGUAUGUAUGUAGGUGACAGUAUAUAUAUAUAUUAUGAAUUAUAUCACGGUACAUUGAAGAGAUGAACCGUCAGAUACGUUGAUUUGAAAGAAACAAAAAAUUAAGGGAAAAAAGUAAAAAAUAUUUAAGCAAGUUUGUAUUAAUAUUCAAAUUUUUUGAUUCGAAAUAUUAUAAUGAAAAUAAUGUUAAACUACGAAAUACAUUAUUAUUAUUCAAUGGCCUUUAUUACCAGUAUGUCAUUAUUUCAUGUGUAGAAAAAAAGAAAAAAAAAAUGUUAUUAAAUUAAGAAAAGAGAAAUGAAAUAAAAGUGGGUGCAACUCCCACAAAAGAGAGAGAGAAAAAAAACUUUUUCAACAUUAUAAGCACCACUGAUUAUGAUGUUAUUUUACUAUUAUUUACCUUUGUUACAGGAGCUUUAAUUUGAAGAAUUGCUUUAUGAUUUAUCAGACUUAAUUGAACGUUUUGUGAUAUAUGUUGUUUGUGUUAUUUUACUUUGUUUAAAUGACCAUACUGUUUUAUGCAGUCAAUAAAAGAAUUGAU
Anneissia japonica is the source of this 2134-nucleotide long non-coding RNA. RefSeq lists it as uncharacterized. The record is from RefSeq and is a predicted model, not a curated record. Lineage: Eukaryota; Metazoa; Echinodermata; Crinoidea; Comatulida; Comatulidae. The transcript has 3 exons.